CUGACCAAUGUAGCCUAUUAACUGAAUUGCUUAUUUUAUAUAUUUCUGCUGUCAUCAAAAAGUGCUAAUUAAUUCUGGACAUAUUUUGCAGCUAAUUGAGAUGGCUGCCAAUGAUGGCCUCAGUGAUUUGUUAUGGAUGCCUUAUAGUCAACAUAAAGCCGGGCUGGGUUUUCACCUGCCAUCCACUGCUUGCCUAUCCACCGUUGAUGCACCAAUGCUCCACCGCCAUCUAAACGUCCGCCGGCGCGUGGGCAACACUGCACUGGCACCCCCUAACGGCCAAUCUCCGCAUGCCACUACCGGCCGCGCCAUUUCGCCUCUCGCUGCGCCUGCCACUGCCUCUACCGACCGCACCACAACGACACUCCCGCGGCACCACCAUUGCUGCCACCGGCCAAGCCUCCUCGCGCCGCGGCCAACCCCGCCGCCGCUGUCCGAGCCUCGCCGGCCUACGCAGCCACCGCCCGUGUCGCGCCUCCUUGCACCGCAGUCACCACGCCGGUCGCCGCCGCUGUUGGCCGCACCUCCAGCUGUUGCCGUCAGACAACCAGCGAGCUGCAGCCUCCAGCCACCCGCUGUCGCCGUCGGCCACCCCUUGUCGCUGCCGUUGCCACGAACUCCGCGCCACCUUUUCACUGAUACACCUGGAGAUGGACUGCCAGCAAUGUACCUCCAAUUUAUGGUAGAUUUAACUGCACCAACAGAGUACAACUGGGGGAGCAGCUGCACUUUCCACGUUGUACAGGCAAAUAGAGUAUUGGUUCUGAGAAGGAGAGAUCUGAAACAUGUGGGCCUUACUACAGUUGUGGUGUUGGUCGCGUUUGUCACUCGGGCGUCCUGUAAAUGUAAUGCAAAAUACACAAGAAACCGAGGGAGUGCAAGAGACUCGCAGAUGGACUGUUGCCCUGUAUUUGGAGCUAAGUGGGGUGCUGCACAUGAAUUUCGUACCCCACGUAAUGCUGGUAUUGUUAUAUACUCCCUCCGUCUCAUAAUAUAAGUGAUUUUGA
This 1007-nucleotide long non-coding RNA is filed under the name Oryza sativa Indica Group (long-grained rice). RNAcentral describes it as "lncRNA OsZS97_06G016620". The record is from RNAcentral. Lineage: Eukaryota; Viridiplantae; Streptophyta; Magnoliopsida; Poales; Poaceae.